CUAAGAGCAUACGGGGGAUGCCUUGGCGUUCAGAGGCGACGAAAGACGUGGAUAAGCUGCGAUAAGAAUCGGGGAGCCGCUAAUCAGGCACUGAUCCGGUUAUUUCUGAAUGGGGGAACCCAGCUCGGCUAACACCGAGUUACUCCUUAGGGAGGGCUAACCAGGGGAACUGAAACAUCUAAUUACCCUGAGGAAGAGAAAUCAAUAGAGAUUCCCAUAGUAGCGGUGAGCGAACUGGGAAUAGCCCAAACCAGACGAACUUCGGUUCUUCUGGGGUUGUAGGGCGUACAACAAAGCCGACCAAAGUGGAUAGUUGAAUUGAGUUGGGAAGCUCAGCCAUAGACGGUGAUAGCCCCGUAAACGAAAUUCAUAAUGGCGGUGAGUACGUUCCUGAGUACAGCGAGACACGUGGAACCUUGCUGGAAUCUGGGUGGACCAUCAUCCAAGGCUAAAUACUACUGAACGACCGAUAGCGAACUAGUACCGUGAGGGAAAGGUGAAAAGAACCCCGAGAGGGGAAUGAAAUAGAUCCUGAAACCGUAUGUUUACAAGCAGUCGAAGCACUAUGUCCUUCGGGACACGUGCGACGGCGUACCUCUUGCAUCAUGGGUCAGUGAGUUACGCCUCAGUGGCAAGGUUAAGUCGUAAGACGGAGCCGAAGCGAAAGCGAGUCUUAAUAGGGCGACUUAGUCACUGGGGGUAGACCCGAAGCCAGGUGAUCUAUCCAUGGCCAGGUUGAAGCUCGGGUAACACCGAGUGGAGGACCGAACCGGGUAACGUUGAAAAGUUAUCGGAUGAGCUGUGGAUCGGAGUGAAAGGCUAAUCAAACCUGGAGAUAGCUGGUUCUCCUCGAAAUAUAUUUAGGUAUAGCGUCGUGUAUAUGCAGUGGGGGUAGAGCACUUACUGGGCUAGGGGGCUUACCAGCUUACCAAACCCAAAUAGCCUCCGAAUACCACUGUAGUCGAGCACGGCAGUCAGCCCGCGGAUGACAAGGUCCGCGGACGAAAGGGAAAGAACCCAGACCGCCAGCUAAGGUCCCUAAAUUAAUGCUAAGUGUUUAAGGUUGUGAGGACGCUCAGACAACCAGGAAGUUGGCUUAGAAGCAGCCACCUUUUAAAAAUAGCGUAACAGCUUACUGGUCAAGCGGCCUUGUGCCAAAAAUGUAGCGGGGCUAAAGCAUUAUACCGAAGCUGCGGAUGCACUAUGUGCAUGGUAGAGGAGCGUUGUUAACCGGGAUGAAGCAGGAUUGCAAGAACCUGUGGACUGUUAACAAGUGAAUAUGCUGACAUGAGUAACGAUAAACAAGGUGAAGAGCCUUGUCGCCGAAAACCCAAGGGUUCCUGAGCCAGGAUCAUCCGCUCAGGGUUAGUCGGGUCCUAAGCCGAGGUCGAAAGGCGUAGGUGAUGGACAACAGGUUAAUAUUCCUGUACUGCGUGUAUCGCGCGAUGGGGGGACGGAGAAGGCUAAGUGUACCGGUUAAUGGAUAUGCCGGGGAAAGUAUGUAGGCUGUUGAGUAGGUAAAUCCGCUCAGCGUAUAGGUCGAGAUACGAGACCAUCUGCGAGCUUUGCUCAAGGAGAAGUCACUGAUGCCAUGCUUCCAAGAAAAGCCUCUAAGUUUAGAUACAUGUACCCGUACCCCAAACCAACUCAGGUGGGUAGGUAGAGAAUACUAAGGCGCUUGAGAAAACCGUUGUUAAGGAACUAGGCAAAUUGCAGCCGUAACUUCGGGAGAAGGCUGGCCCUUUUUGGUGAUAGACUUCGCGUCUUGAGCUGGAGAGGGUUGCAAAUACCAGGGGGUAGCGACUGUUUACUAAAAACACAGGACUCUGCUAACUCGUAAGAGGAUGUAUAGGGUCUGACGCCUGCCCGGUGCCGGAAGGUUAAGGGGAUUAGUCAGCACUUCGGUGCGAAGCUUUGAACCGAAGCCCGUAACUAUAACGGUCCUAAGGUAGCGAAAUUCCUUGUCGGGUAAGUUCCGACCUGCACGAAUGGCGUAACGACUUCCCCACUGUCUCAACAACGGUCUCAGUGAAAUUGAAUUGUGCGUGAAGAUGCGCACUACCCGCAGCAAGACGGAAAGACCCCGUGGACCUUUACUACAGCUUGGCGCUGAGUACGGGGGAUGCAUGUGUAGGAUAGGUGGGAGACUUUGAAGCAGUUGCGCUAGCAGCUGUGGAGUCACCCUUGAAAUACCACCCUUGUAUUCUUUGUAUUCUAACCUCGAGAAGUGAAUCCUUCUCAGGAACAGCGUCUGGUGGGUAGUUUGACUGGGGCGGUCGCCUUAACUUAAUGGCCGUCCUGUCCUUCUUAUCCUAGGACAAAAAAAACAACUAGGGGCGCUUAGACGGUAACGUCUAAGGCAAAUUUGGCUAUAUGCUGGAACACCCGUUCUCUAAUCGACUUCCGAGCGCGCGAAGGAGAUGAAGGGAUUUAGUAUCUGACAGUACCAGCCGGAACUCAUUUUGAGUGACAGUUGGUGACAAUCUGUUCAGUGCGGGCAAUCAGCAGGGAAGUUCUCUGGCGUGUUACACGCUAUAACCCCUCAACGACUACACGCCGAACUCCUAAACCAUAUUGGUUUAGGAUGAUGAUAUAGUCUGAUCUUCUAGGCGACUAGAAGCAUGUAAACUUUUAGAGUUUACAGGGCAAUGCAUGGAUGCAGAGCU
This 2666-nucleotide ribosomal RNA is filed under the name bacterium. Its description in RNAcentral is "bacterial LSU rRNA". It matches the Rfam family "Bacterial large subunit ribosomal RNA", at positions 1 to 2369 of the family's 2925-position model. The record is from RNAcentral.